CAGCUUCUUCAUUCCUCAACACCAUGUGUUGUUUACUUGUUCAUAGUCGGGUGAGGUUAUCCAGUCAAAGGCAGAAAUAUGAGCAUCCUUACUCCAGAUACACAACAACAGUAUAUACACCUCAAAAAGUAAUGAAUUGGACCUAAUACAUGAGAGGAGAACAUGAGAAACAUGAUGAAAGGCUUAAUGAAGGGCUUGAAUUUCUGCAGUGACUUUCUGAAGCAUCUUCCCUUGGUGCACAGGAUUGGCAACUCAGUUGUGAGUUCUGAAAUCUGAGAAUUUGGUAAAUGAGAGAAUUUGGUGCAGUGAGUUAAGAAGUGCUGUUCUGGCCUUUUGCAAGAAGAAGCGGUCCAAGAGAGGGCAUCGGAGAUGGUGAAACCUAAGCGGUGAAGAUUGGAGGCAUUAACUAGUAGAAGCAAGUUUUCAAGGUGAAAUGUCAGCUUUUGUGCUCCUAAGAUGCUGCUUAGCCUGUUGUGUUCACCCAGCUCCACACUUUGUUAUUUCAAGCACUAGGACCUCAUGAGUCUUGAAAUCAGGGAAGAGUAUCCAAACACUAAAGCAGACAGCAUUACCAGACAACACAUCGGAACUUCCUUUUGUUGAAGCAGAAACUACACAUAAGCUGCAGUGUUGACUAAUCUUCAUCAGCAGGAUGCAGUACUUUCCUUUCUGAGCCACAUAAUAACUUGCACCGGAUCCAUUUCUGGCAAAUGCUAAGUAUAUGUGUAUCCACCUUUUUUUGGUAUUCUUCUCAAGGCCUGCUUCAAAGUGUUUUUGUUGAUUUCAUGUAAAAUGGGAAUGUUCAUCAUUAUUUUCUCUUUUAUGCUUUGCAAUGUUCUCCAAGCCAUUAAAGUCCUUAUUAUAGUAUGGAGCUAAAAUAAAUACAAGUGCCCAAACAGAGGUCAGGCAGCUGGCAAGUAUUCAAGAGUCAAGGUCAGGAAGUGCAUUCUACCUUCAUUUAACCAGUACAUACAGCGAAAGCAAAUAUAUUAAUCUUACUAACUUUGUCUAUAUCUCCAAAAUUGGGCUUGGUACAAAUUACUAAAUUGUUUACAUACAUGGCAUUAGAGCGUGCAUUUGUUCCAAGUUCAAAUCAGAAACACUGCUUGGAGUUUACUGUGGUAAGAGCAGUGGACAUCAGACUACACAUCUACUGAAUGGCUAUUCCCAACUCAAAUUCUAGUUUCCUGCUUUGUUGAUCAUUCCAGAUGAGCAUCGAAGUUGCAAAAGCAACCUAAGUAGCAUAAUGAGAAUAAUGAGUAUUGUGUUUGAAUUAUUAGCUUCACUGCAAUACAGAAGAACUUAUCAUUUUGAUGGUGAUUCUUCCUGGAUAAAUUGAUGACAUAGCUUUUUGUAAUGAAUAGAAGGGAAUACAUCAUGUAUCCUGCAUAACUGAUUGACAGGGCCAGCAAAUAUCUAUUGUGACAGUUUAGAAUACCUUGGACACAUGGAAAGUUGAGGACUUUGACUGUCACUAGUGUUGCAUUUUCUGAAUUGAGGUUGGGUACAGCUAAGCCUAAAUAUAUGUUUCAUGAUUCUUAGUCUCUGAAAGAGAGCUUCUCUUUUCACAAGCCCCAGAUACUUGCACCUGGCUCAUUGGAGAAUGGCUGUUUCAAUCCCAUUAUUUAUUUUCUUCUCCAGCCAGCAAAAGGCUCAAAAGAAACAUUGACUAAUGCUCCCAUGUUGGCAACGUUGUUUGAAACAAACGAAAUCCAAACUGUUCACCUUAAGAAACUACUUCUGGAAAAACAGCAGAACGUCAUUAGAUCUCGACAUUCAUAUUAAUUGAGGAGAUUACAUGAAUAAGGCAUCAUCGUCAUAGAAUUAUAUUUAAGCAUGUUUGCAAAUUGCCUCUUGAACCAGAUUUGUAACUUUCUUCCAUAUACCCACCCCAGCACCAAAUUGCUUGAUGGUGUUAGCUAAUAAAAAAGGUGCACCAAUUUCAAUCUUGAAAGCUUCAAUUACUUCCAAUUCCUACAAUUUCCUGCAUGAGAGAAUCCAAACGUUACGACUCCAUGCAUUUCCUUCAUU
Long non-coding RNA from Stegostoma tigrinum, 2031 nucleotides. RefSeq lists it as uncharacterized. The record is from RefSeq and is a predicted model, not a curated record. The transcript is spliced from 4 exons. NCBI's taxonomy places the organism in Eukaryota, Metazoa, Chordata, Chondrichthyes, Orectolobiformes, Stegostomatidae.